RNAcentral lists this unclassified non-coding RNA (240 nucleotides) under soil metagenome. Its description in RNAcentral is "partial contains 5.8S ribosomal RNA, internal transcribed spacer 2, and large subunit ribosomal RNA". The record is from RNAcentral.
AACCUAGCACACCUGCGGUGUGUACCUGCGGAGGGAUCAUUACACAAUACAAUAUGAAGGCUGUCCGCAGCUGGAGUAUUUUAUUACCCUUGUCUUUUGCGCACUUGUUGUUUCCUGGGCGGGUUCGCUCGCCACCAGGACCACCAAGUAAACCUUUUUUAUGCAGUUGCAAUCAGCGUCAGUACAAACAAUGUAAAUCAUUUACAACUUUCAACAACGGAUCUCAGAUCGGAAGAGCAC